This 178-nucleotide ribosomal RNA is filed under the name Amanita amerivirosa. RNAcentral's name for it is "partial 28S ribosomal RNA". It matches the Rfam family "Eukaryotic large subunit ribosomal RNA", at positions 1 to 174 of the family's 3401-position model. Lineage: Eukaryota; Fungi; Basidiomycota; Agaricomycetes; Agaricales; Amanitaceae. The record is from RNAcentral.
UUGACCUCAAAUCAGGUAGGACUACCCGCUGAACUUAAGCAUAUCAAUAAGCGGAGGAAAAGAAACUAACAAGGAUUCCCCUAGUAACUGCGAGUGAAGCGGGAAAAGCUCAAAUUUAAAAUCUGGCAGAUGCUUGUCUGUCCGAGUUGUAACCUAGAGAAGUGUAACCUGUGCUGGA